GAGAAAUUAAAACUAUGACUAUUCUAAAAAAUAAUUAUGUUAUGAUCGUCUUAAUUUUCUUUAUUUUUAUUGUAAGGGUUUUAAACUUCGGAGAUCCUUUUCCUUGUAGUAAUGACGAGGAGUGUGAAUCAUAUUGUGGUACUCUUUUCAUUGAAAUUUGUAGUAAUUAUCAAUGUAGAUGUACACGAAAACAAUUACGUUGAAAAUAUAUUAUUAUAUACAAUGUUGUAGUUUUUAUGAUUA
Trifolium pratense (red clover) is the source of this 243-nucleotide long non-coding RNA. RefSeq lists it as uncharacterized. NCBI's taxonomy places the organism in Eukaryota, Viridiplantae, Streptophyta, Magnoliopsida, Fabales, Fabaceae. The record is from RefSeq and is a predicted model, not a curated record. The transcript is spliced from 2 exons.